Molecule: long non-coding RNA, 913 nt
Filed under: Citrus maxima (pomelo)
Lineage: Eukaryota; Viridiplantae; Streptophyta; Magnoliopsida; Sapindales; Rutaceae
Description: long non-coding RNA (CMAX_LNC003759)
Source: RNAcentral
GCACAUAUAAGCAAAUUUGAGGGUCCAAGUGUUCUUUUAUCAAAAGGAAUUAGUAAAUAAAUAAGGGGCAUAUAAAAAAGUGGGUUGGUUUUUAUCAUUGACUGUUUGUGGUUGAUUGAACGAACUGCGAAGAAAUUUCAGAUUGUCUUUUCUAUCGAGUAGACGAAACCAUGACUCAUAUCCUUUUUUCUUUUUUUCUUUUUCAAUAUAUGAUUUCGAAUUUAAUUAAUGUCUAUUAAUGUUGUUGCAAUUAUUAAACAAUUAAUUACUGGUUAGCUUUUUCCUUAAUUCAUUGCUUUUCGAUUUUGGAUUCGAAUCUCACGCGGAAACCAGAGAGAACGCGAUCGCGAGAGAGCGGCCGCUCGCGGCAGCAAGGGAAAGACCAAGGACGACGGCUUGACUCCCGAACAACGCCGCGAAAGGUUUUUUUUUUUUUUUUUUUAUAAAAAAAAAUUCUUCCCUACGAUGUCGUUUUGACUUUUGACUUCUUUUAAAAAAUAAUUAAUUAAUUAAUUAAAAUUAUGUUAAAAAAUUAGGGACGCGAAGGCGCUGCAGGAGAAGACCGCCAAGAAGGCAGCGCAGGCGGCUGGCGGAGAUUCCGCUGGAGGUAAAGGCAAUAAUAAGAAAUAAACAAACUGAAUAAAUGUUCGAUUGAGAUUCCGCCCGUGGUUUGUGUUUUUCGAGCUUUUUUUGUUUAAUUUUAAAUUUAUUGUGGUGUUAAUAAACAAUUUGAUGUGGUUGUACAAUGUUCUAUAUUUGCUUUGUAUUGAUAUUCGGAUUGGCGUCUAAAUACAAGAAUUUAAUUUUUGUUGUGUUUGUUUCUUGUAUUAUUUAUUUUUUGCUUUGAGGUAAUUGUGAUUGCCAGUAGCUAAAGCGAUAACUUCUUUUUAAUAGAUUGAGACGUGGUUUCGUG